This 497-nucleotide ribosomal RNA is filed under the name uncultured bacterium. Its description in RNAcentral is "partial 16S ribosomal RNA". It matches the Rfam family "Bacterial small subunit ribosomal RNA", at positions 28 to 507 of the family's 1533-position model. The record is from RNAcentral.
GAUGAACGCUGGCGGCGUGCUUAAUACAUGCAAGUCGAGCGGACAGACGAGGAGCUUGCUCCUUUCACGUUAGCGGAGGACGGGUGAGAAACGCGUGGAUAACCUACCUAUAAGACUGAGAUCAUUUCGGGACACCGGAGCUAAUACCGGAGAAUCUACUGAACCACGUGGUUCAAUAGUGAAUGACGGUUUUGCUGUCACUUAUAGAUGCAUCCGAGCCGCAUUAGCUAGUUGGUAAGGUCAUGGCUUACCAAGGCAACGAGGCGUAGACGACCGGAGAGAGUGAUCGGCCGCACGGGAAGUGGAACAGGGUCCUGACUCCUACGGUAGGCAGCAGUAGGGAAUCGUCGGCAAUGGUCGAGAGUCUGGCGGAGCGACGCCAAGUGAGUUAUGGAGACCUUCGGAUCGUGAAGCCCUGUUAUGAGGUAAGAACAGAUUUGUAAGUAGCUGUGCACGGCUUGACGGUACCUAGUCAGAAAGCCCCGGCUAACUACGUG